ACAGAUGGCGGCUCGAUGUGAGGUCAACAUCAGAAUCUAAUUACGUCUGCUGAUUUGUUUAUGCUUCACGGGACGGAGAGAGGAAUCCUUGUCCUUCUGAUUUGCAGUGGUUGUUCUCGAUUGAUCUAAAAGGCUGGGAAACCCGGUCAGAUUGGGAUGUCGGACAUGGCUGAGGAUGAGGAGAGAGUAAUUGGAAGUGAUGGAGAAUUAGUCAGCGUUUUCACGAGUCUGGGCUCAGUGGACAAGAAAGAUUCACAGCAGAAAAGGAUCGAAAGUGGUAUAUUGAAACUGGCUCAGCGAUUUGCCCAAAAGGAGAAGUUCAGCA
Callorhinchus milii (elephant shark) is the source of this 325-nucleotide long non-coding RNA. RefSeq lists it as uncharacterized. The record is from RefSeq and is a predicted model, not a curated record. The transcript has 3 exons. Lineage: Eukaryota; Metazoa; Chordata; Chondrichthyes; Chimaeriformes; Callorhinchidae.